Non-coding RNA from Monosiga brevicollis, 72 nucleotides. NCBI's taxonomy places the organism in Eukaryota, Choanoflagellata, Craspedida, Salpingoecidae. The record is from Rfam.
AGGUUAGUAGUAUAGUGGUCAUUACUUUGUGCUUCAAACGCAAUUACCCGGGUUCAAUUCCUGGCUAACCUG